GGUGAACGCUGGCGGCGUGCCUAAUACAUGCAAGUCGAACGCACAGCGAAAGGUGCUUGCACCUUUCAAGUGAGUGGCGAACGGGUGAGUAACACGUGGACAACCUGCCCUCAAGGCUGGGGAUAACAUUUGGAAACAGAUGCUAAUACCGAAUAAAACUCAGUGUCGCAUGACACAAAGUUAAAAGGCGCUUUGGCGUCACCUAGAGAUGGAUCCGCGGUG
Molecule: ribosomal RNA, 222 nt
Filed under: uncultured bacterium
Lineage: Bacteria
Description: partial 16S ribosomal RNA
Rfam family: Bacterial small subunit ribosomal RNA
Source: RNAcentral